This is a long non-coding RNA of Amphimedon queenslandica, 378 nucleotides long. RefSeq lists it as uncharacterized. NCBI's taxonomy places the organism in Eukaryota, Metazoa, Porifera, Demospongiae, Haplosclerida, Niphatidae. The transcript is spliced from 2 exons. The record is from RefSeq and is a predicted model, not a curated record.
GCCUUCUCCUGAUUACCUUGGGCUUUCAAUUUGUGCUAUAUUUUGUUGCUGGAUGAUUGCAAUAUUUGCAAUAAUGAAGUCAAUGGAGACACGUACCUACAAUCAAAGUGGUGAUUAUGAUAGAGCUCUACAAGCUUCCUCUCAAGCAAAAAGUUAUAGUGUAGCAGCAAUAAUAGUGGGAUUGAUACUCAAUGGUAUUGGAAUUGCAAUAGCACUCAUUCCACCAAUACUAAUAAGUAUAGCUGCAGCAGCAAGUUAACUGCAGAGACAGUAUGAUGUGCAGAUCAAUAUCAUGUUUUCGCAUGUGUGUGAUAGUUCAACUUUUAGUUGCUGUAUAUUUUUCUUAAAUAAUUUUUGGUUUUGUUAAAACUCAGCUCA